GUUCUUCAUCUGAGCUGAAUCAUGUUCAACGUCACAGUGUCGUGUUCAGAGAUUCAGACUCCUGUGGGGUUUGUGUACGUGAUUCUGUCUGUUUUACUGAAUAAAACACACAAUCCUGACUGUGAUCAGAGCUGGUAUUCACAGGAUGAUCGUCUGAUAGCAGAUCCAUCAGAUCCUCAAACACUGAUUGAUCCUGUGACGUCUGUCUCUUCUGAUCGUCUCGUCACGUCUCAGUGUGUGAAUCUGAAUCAUGAGAUCAUCUGUCACGCUGCAGGAUUCAGAUGUGACACCGUGUUCAGAGUGUUUAAUGACUCCAUCAGUGAAUCGACUCAAGCUCCAGAAUCACAUCAGUUGUGCUGGAUUCCUGCUCUGAUCUUCAUUGUUCUUCUGGCUUUAAUCUGUUUCUUGCUGCAUAAAAGGAUCUUCAGAUGUUUUCAGAGCAUCUUUCAGUGCAACGAUUCAGAAAACAGGGAUCCUGAAUCUGUUGUCCGCGUGAAGCUCAGAUCUGAUGAAUCUGAUUCGCUGAAACAAUCUGAAUCUGAGCUUAUCAACAGCUCCAUGUCCAGAGGAUGA
RNAcentral lists this long non-coding RNA (573 nucleotides) under Carassius auratus (goldfish). RNAcentral describes it as "lncRNA (ENSCARG00000001091.1)". The record is from RNAcentral. Lineage: Eukaryota; Metazoa; Chordata; Actinopteri; Cypriniformes; Cyprinidae.